UGUGUUGCUGGGAGCUGCUAAACCCAUGUGUAUCUUCCCAUAAGUGCUACAGGAAUAAAACUGCUUUCUCACCCCUCAGCUUGCUGUCCUGCUGGUCUGUGGUGCUGUGGGAUGAACGCAGCCUCUGGGUUAUGGCAGGGUCUACAUCAUUUUUGAUCUUUCUUGCUGCCCUUGGGGGCAGCAGCCAGCCAGGACUUGGGUAGAGGACACCCACAGCAAGGGCUAGGACUGAUUUGUGCUAUCCAGUAACCUCCUGGUCUGAACAACUUCUGGCGUCUUAAAGUUUAAUAGUGGAGGAACAAUCAUUGUUUAAUAUAUCUGCAAGCUGUCACGACUUAUCCAUCAGAAAAAUACUUGCCCUGUCUCUGAUGUUUUAGCUCUUGAACUGGAUUCAGUGUCAGCUUUGGUCCAAACAACCCUUGAGAGACAGUGGAAUAAAGUCAGAGGUCCAUCUGAGCAAAGCGGUGAUUCAUGAUCUGAUGUCAAAUAUUCACAUCUGUCGCUGAAUCAAGUGUCUCAUAAGGAGAAGGUCAUUUAUUCUUGAUACUUCUGUCCUCUCUUCAAGAUGUGCGAUAUGAGACUAAUUUAAUGAACAGCAUUAACUGGAAGAUUCUUAAAAACAAUUGUUGAGGGGAUGGUAUAAGAACUUGGCUUGCCUGGAGAGACUUUAAUACAGCUCAGGACCAUUUCAGAAGAAAGGUGACUCUGCCCUCAUUUAUGCCUUAGGCACCACUCCAGGGAUACAACUAGAAGGCACUACAUGCCCAGAGGCUGAGAAUGCACUCAACUAGUGAAGCCUCUCUGGUCUAUGCCCGCUGUCAGAAAUAAGCAGCUUAUUCUUUCCUGCUAGAAGAAGAGGACGACCUAAUUCCUAAGUAAGAUGUCUCCCUUUCCCCUUGUUGGAGGCAGCUGCCGAGAACUUUGCUUUCCCUGGUACCAGCACAUAGCCGUAUGUGUUCUGUCACCAGUUUGCCCUUGUAAGUCUCUGAUUUGUGAGCUGGGUAUCUUGAGAUGCCAGGGCCAGGCUGUUUGCCAAGUUCCAUUUGAGGUCUCUUUCCCACGUGGCUAAUUCCAGCAGGUGUGUUCAUCUUUGAUCUGGCAUGAAGUUUAAAUCGCACUGUUGGAACUUCAGGAGGUUCCAGCGUAGGUGGUGAGAUAAAAGGCUCUGCUGUGAGGGCUCAGAGUUGUUUGUCUGUUCUUGACCUACUUGUUCAUGUGAAGGUGUUAACAGACCUGGAGUCUCUGUGCAUAACCCUGGAGAGGUGUCUUUUUACAUCCAUGACCACUUUGAUGCAUGAGUUUUACUCCAAUGCUUCGGACUUGUUCUGCAUUGGUCUGGGAUCAUAAGGCCUGUCUUCUAUAUGGAAGAAGACAUCAUCUUUCCUUCCAUUCUGUAAAAGAAGAUGGCUGUAUUGUUGAUUUGUCUUACAUGGUAACUCUGGGAAUGUAAGCCUCUGGGCAAAGAGGGGAUUUUCUUUGUGCUUUGUUUCUUCCUCUUCCAUCCUCAACAAGCACAGGCAUAAUUUCAUCUAAAGAAAAGCCACACUGAGCAAUUACAUAUUUUUGAGCCAUUAUUACUAUAUUGUAAUGGGUGCACCUCAUGGACAAGUAGAAUUUCUGUGUUUGCUUUAGCGACUGCAUCCUGCCAACAGAUUGGUUCAUAUUCUGGGAGCUGUUUUUCCACUUUAGUUCCUUCUGUUCACAGAUUUUCAUAAAUAACAACUUAGGAUGUGAUUUAUUGCUCCUAAGUAUUGUCUCUACCAUAUCAAUUAAAUAAAUACACAUUAAGCAUAAUGAUAAUUGGCUGAUGUUCCUCAGGGUUCACUCCCUGGCCUUCUGUUCUGUGCAGUUCACACAAUUCUUAUCUGUAGAUUAUGAUGAUGAACAAUCAGCAUUGCAGAAGAAAUAUAUUUUGCUUACUAUCAACAUUUUUCAACCUCUAUUAGUGACAGUGUUUUGUUGAACUGAUGAACUGAAUGUCCAUAAACCACCUGUGCUUUAGGGGAACUCGGAUUUAGCAUUUGAAAUGGUUAGCUGAGUAACUACUGUCAAGAACUUAAAGUACUCUGCCUUUGAUUGACACAUUUUAUAGUAAAGACACUAUUUGUCAUUCCCAUACCAGAAGGUAUUUAUUUCUUUUUUUUGUUUCUAAGACAAAGAAUAGAAAAAAAUGAAACAAGAAGCUUUUCUUAUGCUUUUCAAUCAAUCUCUGUUGCAUAGUAAUGCAUAAAAUGCAUGAAAUGCAUUUUUUCACAUGUUGCUUAUUAUCAGAAACUAAUAGCAGAAAUUCUGAUUAGUCUUAUGGAUGGCUUAUAUAUUCCACUCUUUUAAACUAAUCUAUAUUUUACACAUUUCUAAUUAAAAUGCAAUAAUACUUUGAGAAGUUACUCCUAAAGUGGCAGGGAGGGGACAAUCACAAUUAUUGUUUUUAUUUUAUUUCCUGGCCUCUUAAUGAAUUCUGUAUAAACCAUAUCAGGAAAAUUAAUUUUUAAAAUAUCCAACUAUGCAAAUUUAAUCAGAUAUGGAAGUCAACAGGGGAAUAUUUUAAAAUUUUCAACAUAUUAUCUGUAGUAAUUUUUUUUAAGGAGAUUUUGUGAAUAAAUCCAUUGAUGCUGCAUGAGCCAGAAAAUAAUCCACGUCUUUUACAUGUGUGCGCUAUUUUUAUUUCACCUGUUGUGAUGAAAAAGGGGUAAAAUCUUUUUUUUCACACCAAUUCAUAGAAGUUAGAAGUACAGUUCACAAAUGCACUAAAAUAUGCUUUACAACAAACACAUUCAUGUGUUUGGCAGGCUGUACCUUUGUGUGCUUGUUCUAGUAUAGAUGUUUGCCUUUUUGCAGUGAGUGACAAUGUUGGCUCAUGUUCCUCUUGUAAUCCAUUAUAAACUGCGUAUCUUUUCUGCAGAACUGCUGUCUAGGCAAUCAUUCCUGAUCCUGUGUCAUGCAAUUGAUUAUUCUUGGCUCUGUAUGUGCACUCUUCCCUGCUGAACUAUAUUACUUUUUUCAAUCUGUUUCCCUAUUUGUCAAGAUGGUAUUGAAUUCUAAUGCUGCUCUAUAACAUAGUAGUGGUAUAUUCCAGGGUGAUAUCACCUACUGAUUUAGUGAGGAUAAUCUCUGUUCUACCAUUCAGAUCUUUAAUAAAUACAUUAAC
This is a long non-coding RNA of Gymnogyps californianus (California condor), 3148 nucleotides long. RefSeq lists it as uncharacterized. NCBI's taxonomy places the organism in Eukaryota, Metazoa, Chordata, Aves, Accipitriformes, Cathartidae. The transcript is spliced from 7 exons. The record is from RefSeq and is a predicted model, not a curated record.